UACGUAGGGGGCAAGCGUUAUCCGGAUUUACUGGGUGUAAAGGGAGCGUAGACGGAUGGACAAGUCUGAUGUGAAAGGCUGGGGCUCAACCCCGGGACUGCAUUGGAAACUGCCCGUCUUGAGUGCCGGAGAGGUAAGCGGAAUUCCUAGUGUAGCGGUGAAAUGCGUAGAUAUUAGGAGGAACACCAGUGGCGAAGGCGACUUACUGGACGGUAACUGACGUUGAGGCUCGAAAGCGUGGGGAGCAAACAGG
Molecule: ribosomal RNA, 253 nt
Filed under: Blautia luti
Lineage: Bacteria; Bacillati; Bacillota; Clostridia; Lachnospirales; Lachnospiraceae
Description: partial 16S ribosomal RNA
Rfam family: Bacterial small subunit ribosomal RNA
Source: RNAcentral